AAAAUUGAAUAAUGUUAAUUCCAACUUCAACUAGGUUUUAUGUCAAUCUCAAAACAGGCAAAAUCUCUUAAAUUGAUGUUUUAUUAAUUUAUAGAGGCUAAGGAAAAACAAUAAGCUAAGCCGGUUUUAAUCAACCGUUAUAAUUUAAAUAUUUUCGCUUUGCAGGCGUUACUUGUAACACCGUACGUUCAUAAUAAUAUUUAUUAAAAUAGAUAAACAAUCCAUUUAAUACUUUGUAAAAUUUUUUUUACUAAAACAGCUUUACUUCCUAAAGAGAAGAUAAAUAUAAAUUGGAUUUUUUUCUAAUAUAGUAGUUAAACUAAAAUCUAACUAUUAUAAAAUAAAUAAAUAUUUUUUAUUUACUCAAGAGAAUAUUUUGUUAAAAAAUGCAUUAAUUAAAUUUAAAUAAAUUUUUUUUAGAUUACAACUAAUUUAAAUUAGCCGUUCGACGAAAACUUAUUUUAAUUUACUUAAUAAAAGAAUAAGCAGGAUACUAGAAUAAUAGCAAAAUUGUUUUUAGUACUCAUAUAAUUGUUUAUUUGUUUUACAAA
Molecule: unclassified non-coding RNA, 551 nt
Filed under: Gonium pectorale
Lineage: Eukaryota; Viridiplantae; Chlorophyta; Chlorophyceae; Chlamydomonadales; Volvocaceae
Description: tscA
Source: RNAcentral